Molecule: ribosomal RNA, 449 nt
Filed under: uncultured bacterium
Lineage: Bacteria
Description: bacterial SSU rRNA
Rfam family: Bacterial small subunit ribosomal RNA
Source: RNAcentral
CGCCAGACUCCUACGGGAGGCAGCAGUGGGGAAUAUUGCGCAAUGGGGGAAACCCUGACGCAGCAACGCCGCGUGAGUGAGGAAGUAUCUCGGUAUGUAAAGCUCUAUCAGCGGGGAAGAAAGAGGACGGUACCCGACUAAGAAGCCCCGGCUAACUACGUGCCAGCAGCCGCGGUCAUACGUAGGAUCCGAGCAUUAUCCGGAGUGACUGGGUGUAAAGAGUUGCGUAGGUGGCAUAAUAAGUAGCUAGUGAAAUCUGGUGGCUCAACCAUUCAGACUAUUAGCUAAACUGCUAAGCUCGAGACCGUUAGGGGUAACUGGAAUUUCUAGUGUAGGAGUGAAAUCCGUAGAUAUUAGAAGGAACACCGAUAGCGUAGGCAGGUUACUGGGACGGUUCUGACACUAAGGCACGAAAGCGUAGGGAGCAAACGGGAUUAGAUACCCUCGUA